AAGGGGAAGAAGAAUUUGGCUGUUGUUGGUUUUGAAAAGAAGGAAGAGGAGGAACUGAAGGAAGUUGGUGCAAUGGGCGACGACAGUGGUGGUUUGAGUGCUAAUAAGGCCGUUGGGCAGGAGGAGGAGGGCAGUACUGCACCUUUCCCAGAAAAGGUUCAAGUGGGAGGAUCACCUUUUUAUAAGAUAGAAAGAAAAUUGGGUAAAGGUGGGUUUGGUCAGGUGUUUGUUGGUCGUCGUGUUACUGGUGGAACUGAACGCACAAUGGGUCCUGGGGCCAUGGAGGUGGCUUUGAAAUUUGAGCAUAAAAACAGCAAAGGUUGUAACUAUGGUCCCCCGUAUGAAUGGCAAGUAUAUAACACUCUUGGUGGUAGCCAUGGAGUGCCAAGGGUUCACUAUAAAGGAAAGCAAGGAGAUUAUUAUGUAAUGGUUAUGG
Molecule: unclassified non-coding RNA, 436 nt
Filed under: Hevea brasiliensis (rubber tree)
Lineage: Eukaryota; Viridiplantae; Streptophyta; Magnoliopsida; Malpighiales; Euphorbiaceae
Source: RNAcentral